AUUUCCGCAGGAGCGCGUGUGAGUUAACUGUGUUCCCCAACCCCCACAGUCCCACUGUGGGACUGCCCGACCCCUCCUCAAAACCACCACCAUCUGACAACCCUAUGGCCUCCGUGAUGAGCGAAAAGGGAAAACCUUGGCAUUCUUACUUCCUGGGCACCCUCUGCCUCCUCAGGUCCUCACCACCAUGCUGGAAUAUAUAGGUUGUUCCAGACACCUGCGGAGGCGGCCUGCAGCUGCUGGGCUUAAGGGGACCACAAGACCAGGAGUUUCAAAUCCCAGCUCUGUGUACUGCAACAAGUUGCUGCUGUCUUGAAUUCCCGGUUACCUGUUCUCUAGAAUGGGCACAAAUGCAAGGAACACAGUUAACAGCAUGAUUGGACAUGAUUAUCCUGGCCCCCAGGCUGGCAACCAAGUCUUUGAGAGAGGGGAGAGGAAGUCCAGGGUCAGGUGGGGCCUUCUAGUGUGUUCUCAUCACUUAGUACAUUCCAGCAAGAGAGCUCGGGCCUCUUGUCCUAGGAGAUGAGCAAACUGAGGCUGAAGAGGAGCAGAGACCAGACAAACAGACACCCAGGUGUCCUAGCCUCCAGGCCUGUGCUCCCUCCAACCUCCAGUUGUCAGAAGAGAGAGGAGGGCCUUCCUCACAGGGGUCUGGGGUCUUCCUCACAGAAACAGAAGGUGGGUCCCCUGGCUUCUCUCCUGGGAGGCAGUCCCAGUGACUUGGGCUAAGUGCAGGGUUUCUGGCACUCCCGAAUUACUGUGUGACCCUUUGCUAGAUGCUUUACCUCUUGGGGACUCAGUUUCUAUCCACGAAAUGGGGUCACAGGGACUCUCAUUUCCAGGGGUUGUUGGGAGGAUGAAAGGAGCAAAUGUUGGCCCAGGUUAGUCCUCCGUGGUCUCGGCAGCGCCUGGGGGGUGUUGCUGAGGGAUGGGAGUGAUUCAGGCUGGGGGGCAGAUUGGCCCAGACCCAGAAGUCCCCAGGGGAGAUCCCACGAAGGAACCCCGGGCCAUGCUGAGGCUGUGUCGCUGAGGCUUGUGAGUGCUGGGCCAGUCCUGCCUUGACCUGGGUGCCAGAGCCGUGGCCGCAUCCCUGGGAGAAUGAAUGGGGCUCAGUGUGGCGGCUCCACUGAGCUCAGAGCCCCCUUUGUGCUGCCUUGAGUGGCCGUUGGGAGUGCGGCUGGGGACCUGCUGGCGGGUGGCUGUCCGGCAGGCCCUCCUCAGUCUGCGUUGGAGGCUCGCCCAGAGCAGCUCGUGGGCUCCCAGCCCUGCACAUUCAAGGGUCUUCCUGCCUUCAGGCCUCGGCUACAGCAGGACCCACACCCGCAAUGCAGCUUUUUCCUGACCCCACCCCACCCCCAGGGCUGCACAACUGGCUGCAAGUUUUGCCUCCACUGAGUGGCCCCAGCUCUAGACUGAGCCAGAGUGCCUUAGGGAACCCUGCUCUGGUUUCUGUCCCCCUCUCCUUACCCCUUUCCCCCAGUCUGCAACUCAGCCACCUGCCAUUUGGCCAGGUACUAUUAGGGGUUGGAGUCUUUCAACUUCAGUGGCUCAGUGGGUUAAGCCUCUGCCUUCAGCUCAGGUCUUGAUCUCAGGAUCCUGGGAUCAAGCCCCGCAUAGGGCUCUCUGCUUGGCAAGGAGCCUUCUUUCCCGUCUCUCUCUGCCUGCCGCUCUGCCUGCUUGUGAUCUCUCUCUGUGUCAAAUAAAUCAAUUAAAUCUUUAAAAAAAAAAAAAAAAA
Mustela lutreola (European mink) is the source of this 1735-nucleotide long non-coding RNA. RefSeq lists it as uncharacterized. NCBI's taxonomy places the organism in Eukaryota, Metazoa, Chordata, Mammalia, Carnivora, Mustelidae. The record is from RefSeq and is a predicted model, not a curated record. The transcript has 3 exons.